This 459-nucleotide ribosomal RNA is filed under the name uncultured Treponema sp. RNAcentral's name for it is "bacterial SSU rRNA". It matches the Rfam family "Bacterial small subunit ribosomal RNA", at positions 341 to 792 of the family's 1533-position model. The record is from RNAcentral. Lineage: Bacteria; Pseudomonadati; Spirochaetota; Spirochaetia; Treponematales; Treponemataceae.
ACGGGAGGCAGCAGCUAAGAAUAUUCCGCAAUGGACGAAAGUCUGACGGAGCGACGCCGCGUGGAUGAUGAAGGCCGAAAGGUUGUAAAAUCCUUUUGAAUUGGAAGAAUAAGUAUUGUAGGUAAUGACAGUAUGGUGACAGUACAAUUUGAAUAAGCAACGGCUAAUUACGUGCCAGCAGCCGCGGUAACACGUAAGUUGCGAGCGUUGUUCGGAAUUAUUGGGCGUAAAGGGCAUGUAGGCGGUUAUACAAGCUUGGUGUGAAAUCUAUGGGCUUAACCCAUAAACUGCGUUGAGAACUGUAUAACUAGAGUUACUAAGGGGAAACUAGAAUUCCAGGUGUAGGGGUGGAAUCUGUAGAUAUCUGGAAGAAUACCAAUGGCGAAGGCAAGUUUCUAGUAGAUAACUGACGCUGAGGUGCGAAGGUGCGGGGAGCAAACAGGAUUAGAUACCCUGGUA